CCUACGGGUGGCAGCAGUAGGGAAUUUUGCGCAAUGGGGGAAACCCUGACGCAGCAACGCCGCGUGAUCGAUGAAGCCCUUCGGGGUGUAAAGAUCUGUCAGUGGGGACGAAACCUGACGGUACCCACAGAGGAAGCACCGGCUAACUCCGUGCCAGCAGCCGAGGUAAUACGGGGGGUGCAAGCGUUGUCCGGGAUUACUGGGCGUAAAGGGUUCGUAGGUGGCACGUUAAGUCAGGUGUUAAAGGCGGAGGCUCAACUUCCGUAGGGCAGUGGAUACUGGCGGGCUUGAGUGCGGUAGAGGUAAGGGGAAUGCGUGGUGUAGCGAUGAAAUGCGUAGAUAUCAGGAGGAACAUCGAUGGCGUAGGCGCUUUACUGGGCCGUAAUUGACACUGAGGAACGAAAGCCGGGGGAGCAAAUGGGAUUAGAUACCCGAGUAGUC
Molecule: ribosomal RNA, 441 nt
Filed under: uncultured bacterium
Lineage: Bacteria
Description: partial 16S ribosomal RNA
Rfam family: Bacterial small subunit ribosomal RNA
Source: RNAcentral